Molecule: ribosomal RNA, 360 nt
Filed under: Triticum aestivum (bread wheat)
Lineage: Eukaryota; Viridiplantae; Streptophyta; Magnoliopsida; Poales; Poaceae
Description: partial small subunit ribosomal RNA
Source: RNAcentral
AUGAAUUGCUUAAGUUGGAAUUGUCGAGGGGCGGGGAACCCUCAAAAAGUUCGCGAUCUUGCGGCCCUUGUGGCCGCCCAUUCCCUGAAGUUGUUUUUUUUGUGUGAAACUAGACAUCCUAGAGAUAAAAUGUUUCGUCUUUGUUCUCGUUUAGGUCUUUCGGAUUUUGAAGGAAUUAGUAGUGAAGGCAUGAGUGGAGGUCUUGCUUUAUUUUGGGACGAGUCUGUAUCAGUUCAAGUCCAAGAAGUCAAUAAAAGAUGGAUUGAUGUGUAUGUCAGGGUGAACCUAGGGUUGAGAACAAGCAUCUCAUGUGGGACUCUUUGCGUCGCCACCAUGGAAUCAGUGAUCUUCCGUGGAUGA